Molecule: ribosomal RNA, 230 nt
Filed under: Beijerinckia sp. ISOM224_OTU283
Lineage: Bacteria; Pseudomonadati; Pseudomonadota; Alphaproteobacteria; Hyphomicrobiales; Beijerinckiaceae
Description: partial 16S ribosomal RNA
Rfam family: Bacterial small subunit ribosomal RNA
Source: RNAcentral
ACGAACGCUGGCGGCAGGCUUAACACAUGCAAGUCGAACGCCCCGCAAGGGGAGUGGCAGACGGGUGAGUAACGCGUGGGAACAUACCCUUUGGUUCGGAACAACUCGGGGAAACUCGAGCUAAUACCGGAUAAGCCCUACGGGGGAAAGAUUUAUCGCCGAAGGAUUGGCCCGCGUCUGAUUAGCUAGUUGGUGAGGUAAUGGCUCACCAAGGCGACGAUCAGUAGCUG